AGUUUAUUUCUUUAGGAAUGAAAAGCGUAAAAGGGGGGGAAAUAAAGAAGAAAAAAAAGAAAAAAAAGGAGAGAAAAGACCUGUGUUGCUUGCAAUGAAGAUACCUUAGACAUCUAUCUAUCUACACUAUGUCUAUUUACUACGCUAAACUUCCAGAUACAAAAUUAGUUAUAGUUAUAUAUAUAUCGACAUAAUCAACCCUCGAACCCGCUAAAAUUCCAACCCACCUCUCCUCUAAGAUAGCAAGAAAGCACACACACACACACGCGCAUGCACGCACCCUUUCUCUUCCUCAACAAUGCAGUCCCAUCCAUCCUAUCUCCCCAAAACGAAACGCAAAAAAAAAAAAAAAAAAGAGAGAGAGCAAAGAACCAACCACCCGAAUAAUAGUAAUGGACCAUAGCCCCCUACGAAAACCUAACCCCCCGACUCGGGUCCCAC
RNAcentral lists this small RNA (441 nucleotides) under Histoplasma capsulatum var. duboisii H88. Its description in RNAcentral is "Histoplasma capsulatum H88 hypothetical RNA". Lineage: Eukaryota; Fungi; Ascomycota; Eurotiomycetes; Onygenales; Ajellomycetaceae. The record is from RNAcentral.